Molecule: ribosomal RNA, 1244 nt
Filed under: metagenome
Description: bacterial LSU rRNA
Rfam family: Bacterial large subunit ribosomal RNA
Source: RNAcentral
UGAAUACGAGACGCUAAGGCGUCGAAGUAGUGUAUGUCAUACUUCCAAGAAAAGCUUGCACUGUCAUAGAUAAAAAACGCCUGUACCAUAACCGACACAGGUGGGUAGGUAGAGUAUACUAAGGGGCGCGAGAUAACUCUCUCUAAGGAACUCGGCAAAAUAACUCCGUAACUUCGGGAGAAGGAGUGCCUUAUUCGUAAGGUUGCAAUAACAAGAUCCAAGCAACUGUUUAUCAAAAACACAGGUCUCCGCUAAGUCGUAAGACGAUGUAUGGGGGCUGACGCCUGCCCAGUGCCAGAAGGUUAAAGAAGUUGGUUAGCAAUUGCGAAGCUGAUAACUGAAGCCCUGGUGAACGGCGGCCGUAACAAUAACGGUCCUAAGGUAGCGAAAUUCCUUGUCGGGUAAGUUCCGACCCGCACGAAAGGCGUAAUGAUUUGGAUACUGUCUCGGAGAGGGGCUCGGUGAAAUAGACUUGUCUGUGAAGAUGCGGACUACCUGCACCAGGACAGAAAGACCCUAUGAAGCUUUACUGUAACUUGAAAUUGAAAUUGGACUUUAUUCGCGCAGUAUAGGUGGGAGGCGUUGAUUAUAAUCUUGUGGGAUUAUUGGAGCCAUCAGUGAGAUACCACUCUUGUAAUGUUAGAUUUCUAACUUUGAAUCAUUAUCUGGUCAAAGAACAGUUUCAGGCGGGCAGUUUGACUGGGGCGGUCGCCUCCUAAACGGUAACGGAGGCGUACAAAGGUUUCCUCUGAACGGUUAGAAAUCGUAUCUAGAGUGUAAAGGCAUAAGGAAGCUUGACUGUGAGACCUACAAGUCGAUCAGGGACGAAAGUCGGUCUUAGUGAUCUGACGGUACUGAGUGGAAAGGCCGUCACUCAACGGAUAAAAGUUACUCUAGGAUAACAGGCUGAUCUCCCCCAAGAGUUCACAUCGACGGGGAGGUUUGGCACCUCGAUGUCGGCUCAUCGCAUCCUGGGGCGGUAGUACGUCCCAAGGGUUGGGCUGUUCGCCCAUGAAAGCGGUACGCGAGCUGGGUUCAGAACGUCGUGAGACAGUUCGGUCCAUAUCCGGUGUAGGCGUUAGAAUAUUGAGAGGAGCCUUCUUUAGUACGAGAGGACCGAGAAGGACAUACCUCUGGUGUACCAGUUAUCGUGCCAACGGUAAACGCUGGGUAGCUAUGUAUGGAGUGGAUAACCGCUGAAAGCAUCUAAGUGGGAAGCCCACCUCAAGAUAAGUAUUCUCAUC